GUCCUUGCUUGUCCUUCCUAAAAGUGCCUUGUCAAGGUCAGAUGAGAAAUUCUAUCAGAUUGCAGUGAGUGAUACCCCAAGGAUCUACUUUGCUUUGGGCAUUGGGUGAACAUUAACACUGGGUACUGGAACAUACCUUAGAAGAUUAUCAUAAAUAAAUCUGUAAUUUGAAUGUUUAUCUGUGAGGGUCUUACAUCGUUCAUCUACUAACCAGAUAUGAGUGCCAUGCCAAGGAAAAUCUGGGCAGAAAAAUGCUAAAUGUUUAAACAGAGCAAGUGGGCUUGAUCCACCAGACAGAGCUAAGUGAAAAACACCACUCCUUAUAACUUCUGUUGAUGCCUGUAGAAGGAGAUUUUCAGCUAAUGUCUUAACUACUUCAUCGCUAGAGCCAGUAACAAGAGAUCUUUGUCUGAAUAAACUUUUCUUGUACAUAUUGCUUGACCUCUCUUCUGGCUCACAACUACCAUAAUUAUCUAGUACACCUCUUGAACAACUCUCAUCUUUAAAAGGUUGAGCAAACUCAAGUCUUUGACCUCUGAUGGAGAAAUCAAGAGUUUCAAGGGUGUCUUUAGAAUAGAUUCUAGGCAUUACAGACUUAAGGCUGUCUAAUAAUCGCGUCCAAAUUUCCCAUGAUGCAAUGAGGUCUUCAGUGCUGAUGAACAGAUCUUGUUUUCCAUGGUAUGCUGCUUUUAUUAAAGCACUAUAAGCAUCAUGGGAUACAAAGGGUUCAAAUACAUUAAAGGAUUUACCAAGGCAGUCAUAUAAAUAAUCAGGUUUAGAACUCGUUAGUUUCCAGCCAGAAAACUCAGAAACUGUUGGUAAACUUUUUGAUACGAUUAGAGCAGGCUUCUCCAAGUCUCCACCUUGUAUAUGAAAUAUCAGCUGGUCUAAAAAGCAAUGAUCAUGGCUGGAUUUCAUGGUGUAUUUCUUUUUAAAAAAAAUUCUCACAUAUGCUGUUCUUUCUUCCAGAUGUUUCCCUGACAGCAAGACAAACGGCACACCAUUCCAUUUUGAGUUGUUAAGAAAAAGAAGUACAGCAGCAAAGGGUUUUGGAACAUGAAAAGACACAUGAAUAUCGGAUACAACUCAAGCAAAGAAUAUUAUUCUCAAAGAGUGAAUAACACUCGGUUUGAAAUGGGAAAACAUUACGCCCAAGCUAGAAAAGUCAGUCCCUGCUUACCUGAAAAGGGCGAGCCUGCUGCAUAAGACAGAGAUACAAAAAAAACAUAUAUCCCAUAAGCGACUCCCUUGCCUCGAGAUGGUAGACUAUCCAAGACAAUAUGCAAAGAUGACGUAAACACAAGACCUUCGCCAACGCCAUUGACGAUACCAUACAUUAUUAACAAGUAGAACUCAUUUAAUGAAGGUAAUAAUAGAUUCCCUACAGCCAGGAUGUAAGCACCAAGUUGGUAGAUAUGUGGAAGUGUUAUUAGGCUAGUGUUGCCGUAUUUUCCUACUAAGACUCUUGAUAAUAACGAAGAGAGACCGAUCGAGAAGUAGAUCCAUGAUGAGUGGUCACUCGGAAUCCCAAUAUCUUCACAGUAUUUCGCCUUGAGAAAGAAUUAUAGUAGAAUUAUAGCAGACAGUUAUUUUA
RNAcentral lists this long non-coding RNA (1594 nucleotides) under Actinia tenebrosa (Australian red waratah sea anemone). Its description in RNAcentral is "uncharacterized LOC116300422". The record is from RNAcentral. Lineage: Eukaryota; Metazoa; Cnidaria; Anthozoa; Actiniaria; Actiniidae.